GGUUCGAACCUGCAGGGUCACACACAUUAGAGGUUCCUAUCUGAUCUGAUGGCUAAUGAAAAGUCCUAAUGCUCGUGGACUAUGAGUCCUACAUGUCUGGGACUCUGUGAUCGAGAAUCAAGAUUCUCUGAUCAUGAGUCCUACAUAUUUUGGGUACUGGGGUCAAGAGUCCCACUGGUUUGGGACUCUUCGAUCAGGGUUACAUAUCGAUGAAUUCUGAUGCCCGAUUACCCAUCAGAUUUAGACUCAAUAUUUAUGAGAGGUUUAAUUAGUGAUUUGAUCACUAAUUAACUCAAUUUGAUUGAGUAAUUAUUUUUGGAUCAAGUCCAAUUGAAUUGGAUUCAGUUGGGUUUGACCCGAUUAGGUUAAGAGUUGACCUAAUCGUCGAAAUGGUUUGGUCCCUGAUUUGAUUAGGGGUUGGGCUUAAUCAAUUUCUAAUUUGAUUAAGAUUUUAUUGAGCUUACUUAAGUCUAAUUUAGUUGGGUUUAAAUGAGUCUAAUUGGGCCUAACUUAUUUGGUUCAAUUAGGUUGGUUUAAAUAAUGAAACCACCUUGACCAAUUCUCCCUGUGCCACCUCACUUCCACUGCGCCCAUUUGAAUUCACGAGAAGGAAGUUCUCAUGAAUUUUUUCUCAUGCAAAGCCCUCCUCACGCCCUACUUUAAUGCACCAAAUGAGUGGAUAAGGAUGAUUGGUUGGCCAUUCAAAUUCAAAACAAAGUUUGAAUUUGAAUGAGCAACCAAUCUUAGCGCCUUGACCUUAUCCUCUAUUAAUGCCCCAUUUAUUACAUGAGAAAAUAUUU
RNAcentral lists this long non-coding RNA (800 nucleotides) under Elaeis guineensis (African oil palm). Its description in RNAcentral is "long non-coding RNA (EGUI_LNC075428)". The record is from RNAcentral. Lineage: Eukaryota; Viridiplantae; Streptophyta; Magnoliopsida; Arecales; Arecaceae.